AAACAUUGCUCCCUGAGUUAAUAGAUAACCAUGGGGAGUAAGACCUGCCCACUGAACCUACUUAGGUUUGAAGGGCUGCAGUAUCCUGACUGUACUAAGGUAGCAUAAUCACUUGGCCAUUUAUUGUGGUCUGGCAUGAAUGGUUCAACGGGGUGAGACUGUCUCCUUGGGGAGAUUAAAAAUUAACCUCAGGGUGAAGAGGCCCUGCUUAGACGGAAAGACGAGAAGACCCCAGGAUCUUAACUGUUGUCUGAUGUAUGCAACUAGAUAACAAGUUUGGUUGGGGCGACCCAGGAACAGAAAAAACUUCCUGAUAUAAUAUGAAUAGUACGUUAAGAUCCCUUUAAAAAUAAAAACCACCUUAAGUGUGCUUGCAAAAAAAGAAGGAAUAAAGUUUUCAAGUUACCCUGGGGAUAACAGCAUAAUUCUUUUUUAGAGACCCUAUCGACUAAAGAGCUUAUGACCUCGAUGUUGGACUAGAGUUACUUAUAGGAGCAGAAGCUUACUUAAGUCAGUCUGUUCGACUGUUAAACCUCUACGUGAU
RNAcentral lists this ribosomal RNA (544 nucleotides) under Caecum glabrum. RNAcentral describes it as "partial 16S ribosomal RNA". It matches the Rfam family "Bacterial large subunit ribosomal RNA", at positions 1811 to 2604 of the family's 2925-position model. Lineage: Eukaryota; Metazoa; Mollusca; Gastropoda; Littorinimorpha; Caecidae. The record is from RNAcentral.